GACGAACGCUGGCGGCGUGCUUAACACAUGCAAGUCGAACGGAAAGGCCCUGCUUUUGUGGGGUGCUCGAGUGGCGAACGGGUGAGUAACACGUGAGUAACCUACCCUUGUCUUUGGGAUAACUUCAGGAAACUGGGGCUAAUACCGGAUAGGAGCUCCUGCUGCAUGGUGGGGGUUGGAAAGUUUCGGCGGUUGGGGAUGGACUCGCGGCUUAUCAGCUUGUUGGUGGGGUAGUGGCUUACCAAGGCUUUGACGGGUAGCCGGCCUGAGAGGGUGACCGGCCACAUUGGGACUGAGAUACGGCCCAGACUCCUACGGGAAGCAGCAGUGGGGAAUAUUGCACAAUGGGCGGAAGCCUGAUGCAGCAACGCCGCGUGCGGGAUGACGGCCUUCGGGUUGUAAACCGCUUUCGCCUGUGACGAAGCGUGAGUGACGGUAAUGGGUAAAGAAGCACCGGCUAACUACGUG
Molecule: ribosomal RNA, 468 nt
Filed under: uncultured bacterium
Lineage: Bacteria
Description: partial 16S ribosomal RNA
Rfam family: Bacterial small subunit ribosomal RNA
Source: RNAcentral